This 402-nucleotide unclassified non-coding RNA is filed under the name uncultured fungus. RNAcentral's name for it is "partial contains small subunit ribosomal RNA, internal transcribed spacer 1, and 5.8S ribosomal RNA". The stretch from base 1 to 73 matches the Rfam family "Eukaryotic small subunit ribosomal RNA", at positions 1759 to 1831 of the family's 1831-position model. Lineage: Eukaryota; Fungi. The record is from RNAcentral.
GCAAACUUGGUCAUUUAGAGGAAGUAAAAGUCGUAACAAGGUAACCGUAGGUGAACCUGCGGUUGGAUCAUUACCAAUCCAAAAAGUCGUUCUCCAACCGUCCUCCAUCUUGUGUGGGGGGUAGGUGGGAACACUAACACCCUUGUGAACUCUUGAAUGUAUUUUCGGUGUCCUGGAGAAGGAAGAGAUUUCCUCUUCUUUUUCUAGCCUCUCACGCUUUUUUGCGUGGGGAGCCGGAGACGAAUGGCGCAUCCUUCACGGGUCGUGUCAGAUGUCACCGCGGGCGCCGAGCAUCAAACAAACUCCAUGUUUUAUUCAACUUCUGAAACCAAACAAAAGAACCAAUGAGAAACAACUUUAGACAACGGAUCUCUUGGCUCUCGCAUCGAUGAAGAACGCAGC